AAGUGUUAAUAGCUUGCAUGUGUAUUCAAAUGUUCAUACUUGUUCUUAGCUAGGACAAAAUUUUUCCUUCAAUCCCAGGAUCAGAACCAAUGCAACUGAUAGAGUAUUAUUGCCUUUAAGAAAGAAACAUCAGAGUGGGACUCUGGAAGCGUGCAUUCACUUAGGUUGUUAACCAAAGUGAAAAUAAGCCAUUUUAACAAAUGGAACUUCAUAAUGGAUGAAGUACUAAUCAUAUGAAUGAAUUGUUUAGUAUUGUACUACAAUGGUCUCAAGCUUGGAGCAAAGUUUGUAUAAAGUAUACAAACGAAAUAUAUAUAGAUAUAUAGUUUUAGAAACUGCUUCAAAAGGUGUUUUGAAUGAAAGGGGUUCUUUCAAAACCCAUGAUUGAAUCCAAA
Molecule: long non-coding RNA, 395 nt
Filed under: Malus domestica (apple)
Lineage: Eukaryota; Viridiplantae; Streptophyta; Magnoliopsida; Rosales; Rosaceae
Description: long non-coding RNA (MDOM_LNC020380)
Source: RNAcentral